RNAcentral lists this ribosomal RNA (1038 nucleotides) under Acinetobacter lwoffii. RNAcentral's name for it is "bacterial SSU rRNA". It matches the Rfam family "Bacterial small subunit ribosomal RNA", at positions 35 to 1064 of the family's 1533-position model. Lineage: Bacteria; Pseudomonadati; Pseudomonadota; Gammaproteobacteria; Moraxellales; Moraxellaceae. The record is from RNAcentral.
GCNNNGGGCUACNNUAUNACNCAUGCNCGUCGAGCGGGGAANAGUAGCUUGCUACUUUACCAUAGCGGCGGACGGGUGAGUAAUGCUUAGGAAUCUGCCUAUUAGUGGGGGACAACAUCUCGAAAGGGAUGCUAAUACCGCAUACGUCCUACGGGAGAAAGCAGGGGACCUUCGGGCCUUGCGCUAAUAGAUGAGCCUAAGUCGGAUUAGCUAGUUGGUGGGGUAAAGGCCUACCAAGGCGACGAUCUGUAGCGGGUCUGAGAGGAUGAUCCGCCACACUGGGACUGAGACACGGCCCAGACUCCUACGGGAGGCAGCAGUGGGGAAUAUUGGACAAUGGGGGGAACCCUGAUCCAGCCAUGCCGCGUGUGUGAAGAAGGCCUUUUGGUUGUAAAGCACUUUAAGCGAGGAGGAGGCUACCGAGAUUAAUACUCUUGGAUAGUGGACGUUACUCGCAGAAUAAGCACCGGCUAACUCUGUGCCAGCAGCCGCGGUAAUACAGAGGGUGCAAGCGUUAAUCGGAUUUACUGGGCGUAAAGCGCGCGUAGGUGGCCAAUUAAGUCAAAUGUGAAAUCCCCGAGCUUAACUUGGGAAUUGCAUUCGAUACUGGUUGGCUAGAGUAUGGGAGAGGAUGGUAGAAUUCCAGGUGUAGCGGUGAAAUGCGUAGAGAUCUGGAGGAAUACCGAUGGCGAAGGCAGCCAUCUGGCCUAAUACUGACACUGAGGUGCGAAAGCAUGGGGAGCAAACAGGAUUAGAUACCCUGGUAGUCCAUGCCGUAAACGAUGUCUACUAGCCGUUGGGGCCUUUGAGGCUUUAGUGGCGCAGCUAACGCGAUAAGUAGACCGCCUGGGGAGUACGGUCGCAAGACUAAAACUCAAAUGAAUUGACGGGGGCCCGCACAAGCGGUGGAGCAUGUGGUUUAAUUCGAUGCAACGCGAAGAACCUUACCUGGUCUUGACAUAGUAAGAACUUUCCAGAGAUGGAUUGGUGCCUUCGGGAACUUACAUACAGGUGCUGCAUGGNUGUCGUCAGCUCGUG